GGGCGCGUAGCUCAACUGGCAGAGCAACUGACUCUUAAUCAGUAGGUUGUAGGUUCGAUUCCCACCGCGCUCACCA
RNAcentral lists this transfer RNA (76 nucleotides) under Terriglobia bacterium. RNAcentral describes it as "tRNA-Lys". It matches the Rfam family "tRNA". Rfam says of the family: Transfer RNA (tRNA) molecules are approximately 80 nucleotides in length. Their secondary structure includes four short double-helical elements and three loops (D, anti-codon, and T loops). The record is from RNAcentral. Lineage: Bacteria; Pseudomonadati; Acidobacteriota; Terriglobia.